CAUUAAAAAAAAUUAUCAAUUUUUAUUGUUAAAAAUUGGCAUUACUCAUAGAAUAAUCAAAUAGUUACACGUGACGUGCUACAUAUAUCUCAUGUUAAUGUACAUAGACCAAUUUAUAGCAGUAAAAAUAGAUGAAAUUUUUAAUA
This is a non-coding RNA of Gossypium raimondii (Peruvian cotton), 146 nucleotides long. The record is from Rfam. NCBI's taxonomy places the organism in Eukaryota, Viridiplantae, Streptophyta, Magnoliopsida, Malvales, Malvaceae.